ACGAAAAAUAAUAAAUUUAUACAAGUUAUAUAAACACGAUUAGUUUACAAGUCCGAAUAAUUUAAUGUUUUACGAGAAAAAUAUAAGUUUAUAUAUAAACAUCAAUAAUAAAAAUAUCGCGUCGUUAAGAUUUUUACCACAUCUCGUGUUUGCCUCGUGUUGACCCGUUGACCACGAUUGACUGUUUGGCUGAGUUAACUCGAACAGAAACUGAACCGAAUUUGACUCGAGCCGAGACAAAACCCGCACAAGAAUCUGAGUCUGACCAAACCGAACCCGAUCUGAAGUUGACUGAAAUGAGACCCGAAUCUUGAACCAGAAUCUGUCCAAAACAGCACCCGAACCAAACUGAAGCUGAUACCCGAACAUCAAGCUGCUGACCUGGUUUGACCAUACAUGACCCGAACACUAAACCUGCUGAACCGUGACUCGACUCAGACAAAACAGACUCAGACAAAACAGACUUGAAUCCCAACUGGACCAGGCCCGAGACACCCAUCACUUCCGAAACCACCACUGGCACCACCGCCGAUCAUCAUCACCAUCGGAAACAUCAUCAUCAUCGGAAACGUAAAAGAAAUGGUGAACUGAGAUGAGUGCUUACCGGAUUUGUCGGGAAAAACGUCGAACAUAAAAGAAUAUUC
RNAcentral lists this long non-coding RNA (644 nucleotides) under Helianthus annuus (common sunflower). The record is from RNAcentral. Lineage: Eukaryota; Viridiplantae; Streptophyta; Magnoliopsida; Asterales; Asteraceae.